UACGUAGGGGGCAAGCGUUGUCCGGAAUCAUUGGGCGUAAAGAGCGUGUAGGCGGCUUGGUAGGUCUGCUGUGAAAACUCGGGGCUCAACCCCGAGACGUCGGUGGAAACCACCUGGCUAGAGUCCGGAAGAGGAGAGUGGAAUUCCUGGUGUAGCGGUGAAAUGCGCAGAUAUCAGGAAGAACACCCGUGGCGAAGGCGGCUCUCUGGGACGGUACUGACGCUGAGACGCGAAAGCGUGGGGAGCGAACAGG
Molecule: ribosomal RNA, 253 nt
Filed under: uncultured bacterium
Lineage: Bacteria
Description: partial 16S ribosomal RNA
Rfam family: Bacterial small subunit ribosomal RNA
Source: RNAcentral